UACGUAGGGGGCAAGCGUUGUCCGGAAUCAUUGGGCGUAAAGCGCGUGUAGGCGGCCCGGUAAGUCCGCUGUGAAAGUCGGGGGCUCAACCCUCGAAUGCCGGUGGAUACUGUCGGGCUAGAGUGCGGGAGAGGCGAGUGGAAUUCCUGGUGUAGCGGUGAAAUGCGCAGAUAUCAGGAGGAACACCAAUGGCGAAGGCAGCUCGCUGGGACGGUACUGACGCUGAGACGCGAAAGCGUGGGGAGCAAACAGG
This 253-nucleotide ribosomal RNA is filed under the name uncultured bacterium. Its description in RNAcentral is "partial 16S ribosomal RNA". It matches the Rfam family "Bacterial small subunit ribosomal RNA", at positions 524 to 776 of the family's 1533-position model. The record is from RNAcentral.